UACAGAGGUCCCAAGCGUUGUUCGGAUUCACUGGGCGUAAAGGGUGCGUAGGUGGUUAGGUAAGUCCGAUGUGAAAUCUCCAGGCUCAACCUGGAAAUGGCAUUGGAUACUAUUUAGCUUGAGGAGUGGAGGGGGGACUGGAAUUCUCGGUGUAGCAGUGAAAUGCGUAGAUAUCGAGAGGAACACCAGUGGCGAAGGCGAGUCCCUGGACACUUCCUGACACUGAGGCACGAAAGCUAGGGGGAGCAAACAGG
Molecule: ribosomal RNA, 254 nt
Filed under: uncultured bacterium
Lineage: Bacteria
Description: partial 16S ribosomal RNA
Rfam family: Bacterial small subunit ribosomal RNA
Source: RNAcentral